CUAACAAGGAUUCCCCUAGUAACGGCGAGUGAAGCGGGAAGAGCUCAAAUUUGUAAUCUGGCGGCCUCUGGUCGUCCGAGUUGUAGUCUGGAGAAGCGUUUUCCGUGCCGGACCGUGUACAAGUCCUUUGGAACAGGGCGUCGUAGAGGGUGAGAAUCCCGUCUCUGACACGGACCGCCGGUGCCAUGUGAUGCGCUCUCGAAGAGUCGAGUUGUUUGGGAAUGCAGCUCAAAAUGGGUGGUAAAUUCCAUCUAAAGCUAAAUAUUGGCGAAAGACCGAUAGCGAACAAGUACCGUGAGGGAAAGAUGAAAAGCACUUUGGAAAGAGAGUUAAACAGUACGUGAAAUUGUUGAAAGGGAAACGCUCCAAGUCAGUCGCGUCUUCCGAGACUCAGCCGAGCCAAACCGCUCGGUGCACUUCUCGGUGUGACGGGCCAGCAUCGAUUUCGACCGUCGGAGAAAGGUCGGGGGAAUGUGGCACCUUCGGGUGUGUUAUAGCCCUCGGUCGUAUGCGACGGUGGGGAUCGAGGACCGCAGCGUGCCGUAAUGGCCGGGGUUCGCCCACGUAACGCGCUUAGGAUGCUGGCGUAAUGGCUUCGA
RNAcentral lists this ribosomal RNA (599 nucleotides) under Hysterangium sp. MEL2057692. RNAcentral describes it as "eukaryotic LSU rRNA". It matches the Rfam family "Eukaryotic large subunit ribosomal RNA", at positions 65 to 643 of the family's 3401-position model. The record is from RNAcentral. Lineage: Eukaryota; Fungi; Basidiomycota; Agaricomycetes; Hysterangiales; Hysterangiaceae.